GGAUCGUCACAACGGCUUCCUGGCGUGACGAUGACAUCGAACGGAGCA
Paracoccus aminophilus JCM 7686 is the source of this 48-nucleotide regulatory RNA element. It matches the Rfam family "SAM/SAH riboswitch aptamer". NCBI's taxonomy places the organism in Bacteria, Pseudomonadati, Pseudomonadota, Alphaproteobacteria, Rhodobacterales, Paracoccaceae. The record is from Rfam.